GGCAGAGUGGCGUAGUUGGUAGCGCGUUUGGGUUGGUGCCCCGAAAGGUCCGUGGAUCGAAACCACGCUCUGCUU
This is a non-coding RNA of Phymastichus coffea, 75 nucleotides long. Lineage: Eukaryota; Metazoa; Arthropoda; Insecta; Hymenoptera; Eulophidae. The record is from the annotation of a RefSeq genome assembly.